This 250-nucleotide ribosomal RNA is filed under the name uncultured bacterium. Its description in RNAcentral is "partial 16S ribosomal RNA". It matches the Rfam family "Bacterial small subunit ribosomal RNA", at positions 523 to 769 of the family's 1533-position model. The record is from RNAcentral.
AUACGAAGGGUGCAAGCGUUACUCGGAAUUACUGGGCGUAAAGCGUGCGUAGGCGGUUUGUUAAGUCUGACGUGAAAUCCCCGGGCUCAACCUGGGACGUGCGUUGGAAACUGGCGGGGAUCUAGAGUACGGUAGAGGGUGGUGGAAUUCCCGGUGUAGCAGUGAAAUGCGUAGAGAUCGGGAGGAACACUCGUGGCGAAGGCGGCCACCUGGACCAGUACUGACGCUGAGGCACGAAAGCGUGGGGAGC